AAUGAACGCUAGCGAUAGGCUUAACACAUGCAAGUUGAACGCACUUUCUAUCUCUAGAAAGUGAGUAGCGAACGGGUGAGUAACGCGUAAGAAUCUACCUUACAGAUCAGAAUAAGGUUUGACUCUCAUCUUUUUGAGAGAAACUGAAUACUGGAUAAAUUCUCUGCACAGCAACUGGUUGAUAUGGCUUCUUUACUUCGUAACCAAGUCAACCCAUUGCUUUGUUUGAUAUGGCUUUUUUGCGUGGCUUUGCCAAAGCAACCAAGUCAACAAAAGCAAGAAAGAGAAUAAAGGAAUGAAAUUAUCAAGCAAUUGCUUGACGAAUGCCUUUGUAAGAUGAGCUUGCGUAAGAUUAGGUAGUUGGUGAGAUAAUGGCUCCACCAAGCCAAAGAUCUUUAGUUGAUCUGAGAGGUUGAUCAGCCACACUGGGACUGAGACACGGCCCAGACGCUUUCGAGCGGCAGCAGUGAGGAAUCUUGGACAAUGGACUCUCGUCUGAUCCAGCGAUAUCGCGUGAAUGAAAGAAGGCUAACCUGGUUGUAAAGUUCUUUUCUCAAGUGGAGAAUUA
This 568-nucleotide ribosomal RNA is filed under the name uncultured Pseudomonadota bacterium. RNAcentral describes it as "bacterial SSU rRNA". It matches the Rfam family "Bacterial small subunit ribosomal RNA", at positions 29 to 452 of the family's 1533-position model. Lineage: Bacteria; Pseudomonadati; Pseudomonadota. The record is from RNAcentral.